Long non-coding RNA from Bos taurus (domestic cattle), 368 nucleotides. The record is from Ensembl. NCBI's taxonomy places the organism in Eukaryota, Metazoa, Chordata, Mammalia, Artiodactyla, Bovidae.
GUCAGCCCCUCCCAGACUGUACUUGGAAGGUGAAGACACUCAUCAUUUGCCAGCAUGUUUCUGAGACUUUAUUUUUCUUCAUUUUCCAAAGAUGAAAACCAAGCAAAAAGCAGAGGCAUCAGUUUUUCUCUACAAGCUGACUUGUAGAAACAUUUGUAGAGACACUCCAACCAAUCCAGUGGAAGCAUUUCCUUUACUUGGAUGGAUGAACUCCAUUCAUUCAAGGAUGGUCAUGGGAACUGUCGGAGCCAAGGAGGUGCAAAGGUACUUUUGGUGAGGAAAGGGUACCUAUGAAAGAGGAGACAGGAACAGAGAUCCAGAAGGACACUUUGAUGACAGGCUGUUUCUCAGGGAGAAUGGUUUUAAUA